CUGAGUAGGAUGAAGCCGGAGGAAACUCUGGUGGAGGUCCGAAGCGUUUUUGACGUGCAAAUCAAUCGUCAGACUUGGGUAUAGGGGCGAAAGACUAAUCGAACCAUCUAGUAGCUGGUUCCCUUCGAAGUUUCCCCCAGGAAAGCUGGUGCCAUGUUUGACAGUUUUAUCUGGUAAAGCGAAUGAUUAGAGGCAUUGGGGACGAAUUGUCCUCGACCUAUUCUCAAACUUUAAAUGGGUAAUGUACCGUUGUACUUCUUGAUAUUCAUGAGUGCUCGGUCAAAUGCAAUGGCACCAAGUGGGCCAUUUUUGGUAAGCAGAACUGGCGAUGUGGGAUGAACCAAACGUUGAGCUAGGAUGCCCAAAGUGCUUCUCAUGAGAUACCAUGAAAGGUGUCAGUCGAUAUUGACAGCAGGACGGUGGCCGCAGAAGUAGGAAUCCGCUAAGGAGUGUGUAACAACUCACCUGCCGAAUCGACUGGUCCUGAAAAUGGAUGGCGCUGGAGACGUAUAUCCAUGCUCGACCGUCAAUGCCAACGAAAGCGAUUGCUAUAUGGCUUGACGUGUAGAAGGGCGAUUGCCGUGGCGUCGAAACUUGCACCGUGAGGUGGGGUAGAGCUGCGGCAUGUGCAGAUCUUGGUGGUAGUAGCAAGUAUUCAAAUGAGAGCAUUGAAGACUGAAGUGGAGUAAGGUUCCAUGUGAACAGCAUUUGGACAUGGAUCAGCCGAUCCUAAGAGAACGUGUAAGUUCGUGAUUAAGCGCGUCGCCUUGUGCGUCGCAAUCGAAAGGGAAUCGGGUUAAUAUUCCCGAGCCAGGAUACGGAAUGUGCCUGAUUAUUCGGAAGUACCUUGUGUGCUUUCGACUUCAGGCAAAAGCGGCAACGCCAACAAACCCAGAGAUUAACUAUGCGGAGUCCGGGGAAGAGUUUUCUCUUCUUUGUAAGGGAUGUUAUCCCUGGAAACAGAUUGUCUGGCGAUAGGGUACGCAUCCCGUAAUGCAACGCGAUUCCUGCGAUGUACCGUGCGCUUCGUAUAGUGCUUGAAAAUCUGGGGGCGAGUUUGUUCAGGCCGUACCUGUUCGUACUGAUUUCCGCAGCAGGUCUCCAAGGUGAGCAGCCUCUAGUCGAUGGGACAAAGUAGACAAGGGAAGUCGGCAAAUUAGAUCCGUAACUUCGGAAAAAGGAUUGGCUCUAAAGGCUGAGUUGGUCGGGCGGUUGCGUGAAGCUGGGAGCGACGCUUUGACUCUGUCUCAGACUCCGUUCUCGCAAGGGAUGCGGAAUCGAGGACGGAACUUUGUCUACGCUCUCUGUGGACCGCGGUCGCUAUGCCACCCGUGCGGUAUCUAAACGUAAGUCUCGAGCCGUGCGACGUGGAUCCGAUCAGCGUUUAACAGCUGACCUAGAACUGGUAUGGACAAGGGGAAUCCAACUGUUUAAUUAAAACAAAGCAUUGCGAUAGCUGUAAUCGGUGUUGACGCGAUGUGAUUUCUGCCCAGUGCUCUGAAUGUUAAAGUGAAGGAACUCAUCCAAGCGCGAGUUAACGGCGGAAGUAACUAUGACUUUCUUAAGGUAGCCAAAUGCCUCGUCAUCUAAUUAGUGACGUGCAUGAAUGGAUUAUUGAGAUUCCUUCUGUCCCUGUCUGCAACCUAGCGAAACCACAGCCAAGGGAACGGGCUUGGAGAGUAACAGCGGGGAAAGAAGACCCUGUUGAGCUUGACUCUAGUCAGUCUUUGUGAAGAAACAUGAUGGGUGUAGAAUAGGUGGGAGGACGCGACAGUGAAAUACCACUACUAUCAUCGUUUCUUUACUUACUCAAUUGAUCAGGGAGCGUGAAUUCGCUAUUUGCGAUGUAUGAUUAUUCCUCUAGUGGAAUAAGUGUCUGGUUUGAGAACACAGACUGAUUGGGAGUUUGACUGGGGCGGUACAUCUGUUAAAAUCUAACGCAGGUGUCCUAAGGCAAUCUCAGCGUGGACAGAAACCUCGCAUAGAGCGAAAGGGCAAAAGAUUGCUUGAUCUUGAUUUUCAGUACGAAUAAAGA
RNAcentral lists this ribosomal RNA (2035 nucleotides) under Neoechinorhynchus tenellus. Its description in RNAcentral is "partial large subunit ribosomal RNA". It matches the Rfam family "Eukaryotic large subunit ribosomal RNA", at positions 837 to 2749 of the family's 3401-position model. The record is from RNAcentral. Lineage: Eukaryota; Metazoa; Acanthocephala; Eoacanthocephala; Neoechinorhynchida; Neoechinorhynchidae.